UAUCCCCUGCGAUGUGCGUGAUUAACAUUCGUUUUUUGAGCCAACACCUUGGAACCGGGGGCCUUUCCUUGUCGUCGUGAGCAUGUCCGCCGGCAGUCCGCGGCUGCGGAUGGCGGAAAGCCUGAAGCGGCAAUAUUAGGCGCCCAUUUUUCAAAAGGUUCAAAAAGGUGGUUAACACGGCAUGUGUGGGGGUUUU
This 196-nucleotide non-coding RNA is filed under the name Syntrophobacterales bacterium RBG_19FT_COMBO_59_10. Its description in RNAcentral is "6S RNA". It matches the Rfam family "6S / SsrS RNA". From Rfam's summary of the family: E. coli 6S RNA was the first non coding RNA to be sequenced, but its function was unknown until recently. Lineage: Bacteria; Pseudomonadati; Thermodesulfobacteriota; Syntrophobacteria; Syntrophobacterales. The record is from RNAcentral.